UAGUACAAAAAUCCCUAAGACUUGGAAGGAAGG
Molecule: non-coding RNA, 33 nt
Filed under: Mus musculus (house mouse)
Lineage: Eukaryota; Metazoa; Chordata; Mammalia; Rodentia; Muridae
Source: RNAcentral